This is a long non-coding RNA of Limulus polyphemus (Atlantic horseshoe crab), 401 nucleotides long. RefSeq lists it as uncharacterized. The transcript has 3 exons. The record is from RefSeq and is a predicted model, not a curated record. NCBI's taxonomy places the organism in Eukaryota, Metazoa, Arthropoda, Merostomata, Xiphosura, Limulidae.
CACAGACAAGUAGAUAGAAAUUACGAGAACUUGUCAGGGCAACACACUGAAAAGCCUAGACAUCAUAGACAACACUUGGAAAGUGAAGGAUAUGAUGGGAAAUAUUUUUACAUUUCUUUAGACUGUGAUGCAACUGCCAUGACCGUCACUGCCCGUAGUCCAGAUCCCUUUCGCGGAAGAAUUUUCAUCAAGGAUCAUGGUCAAAAACCUGGUUGCCAGAUGACCGGAGGAGGCGCGUUUGAGGGUUCACUGAGCAUACCUUACAACAAUCCAAAUUGUGGUGUGGUUGAUUUGGGUAACGGUACCUUGAUGACAAAGGUUGUCAUCCAACGUCACUCACAUAUUAUGAUGAAGGACGACGUGUCUUACAAGUUGUUAUGCUCUUUUGACACCAAAGAUAC